This 301-nucleotide ribosomal RNA is filed under the name uncultured bacterium. RNAcentral describes it as "partial 16S ribosomal RNA". It matches the Rfam family "Bacterial small subunit ribosomal RNA", at positions 509 to 807 of the family's 1533-position model. The record is from RNAcentral.
CAGUCGCCACGGUAAUACGUAGGGUGCGAGCGUUAAUCGGAAUUACUGGGCGUAAAGCGUGCGCAGGCGGUUUUGUAAGACAGGCGUGAAAUCCCCGGGCUCAACCUGGGAAUGGCGCUUGUGACUGCAAAGCUAGAGUGCGGCAGAGGGGGAUGGAAUUCCGCGUGUAGCAGUGAAAUGCGUAGAUAUGCGGAGGAACACCGAUGGCGAAGGCAAUCCCCUGGGCCUGCACUGACGCUCGUGCACGAAAGCGUGGGGAGCAAACAGGAUUAGAUACCCCGGUAGUCCCUGUCUCUUAUAC